Molecule: unclassified non-coding RNA, 99 nt
Organism: Cavia porcellus (domestic guinea pig)
Lineage: Eukaryota; Metazoa; Chordata; Mammalia; Rodentia; Caviidae
Rfam family: Y RNA
About the family: Y RNAs are components of the Ro ribonucleoprotein particle (Ro RNP), in association with Ro60 and La proteins.
Source: Ensembl
GGCUGGUCCAAUGGCAGUGGGUUAUCAGAACUUAUUAACAUUAGUGUCACUAAAGUUGGUAUACCACCCCCCCCCACUGCUAAAUUUGACUGGCUUAAA